Long non-coding RNA from Lycium barbarum (goji berry), 1615 nucleotides. RefSeq lists it as uncharacterized. NCBI's taxonomy places the organism in Eukaryota, Viridiplantae, Streptophyta, Magnoliopsida, Solanales, Solanaceae. The transcript has 3 exons. The record is from RefSeq and is a predicted model, not a curated record.
UUGACUUGGGCCUGGUCCAAUUCGUUUGAUAUACUUGGGCUCCUUUGUUGAAGUUAUGACCCUUUUUCCCUUUUCUUCUUCUUCACAGUUUCUCUGAAACUGAUCUGGAUCAAUUUUAUUUUUAUUCUUGACAUCCCCCCUCAAGUUGGAGGGAGACGAAGAAACACCCAACUUGCUAAGGAUGAGAUGGUGACUUGGGCCAGAAAGUGAUUUUGUAAAGAGAUCGGCCAGCUGGUCCUUUGAAGGAACAAAAGUCAAAGAAAUGAGACCGGAAAGGUAUUGUUGCCGGACGAAAUGGCAGUCAAGUUCCACGUGUUUCGUCCUCUCAUGAAACACGGGAUUUCGAGCUAUAUGUAUAGCUGCUUGACUGUCGGAAUGAAUUGGUAUGGGAAGUUUAGGUGGAACUGAGAGAUCGCUCAGUAGUCUAGUAAGCCAAGUCAACUCAGUCACAAGUCGUCGCAUCGACCGGUACUCCGAUUCAGCAGAUGACAAAGAAAUGGAGUCUUGUUUCUUGGAUUUCCAGGAAAUGGGAGAUCCGCCUAGAUUGAUGAAGAACCCACUCACUGAUUUUCGAGAUUCGCGACAUGAAGCCCAAUCAGCAUCGCAAAAAGCUUGAAGAUGAAAUGAGGGAUGAGAUGUCAUGAAGAUACCUUGACCUGGGUCAUUUCGCAAGUAGCUGAGGACUCUUAAAGCUGCAUAAAAGUGAUCCACACAUGGUGUUUGCAUAUAUUGACUAAGGAUAAUUUAGAUGAAGGAUCCAGGGGACAAGAAACAUGAGGCAUAUGUGACACAUCAAACUCACUCAACAGAUCCAAGGUGGAAAAGUUUAGCCCCAUUAGAUUGUCCAAACCUAUGUUCUAGGCUCGUCCACAGUUCUUUAGCAGAACUGGAGUAGAUUACACUGUCUGCUAUGUCUUUGGACAAAGAAUUGAGGAGCCAGGAAGUCACCAUGUCAUUACACCUGCUCCAUGGUUGGUAGUCUGCUUCUUUUGAAUCUGGAGCAACAUGAGCACCUGAGAUAAACCCCAAUUUGUUCUUUGCUGAUAAUGCAAUGAGUAUGGUUCUUUUCCAUCCCUGAUAUCCCCUUCCAUCAAAAGGAGUGUUAACAAGAGCCAUUCCAGGAGCAUCCGAAGAGUGGAGAAAAUAAGGAUGAUUUGAGUCGAUUGUGGUUUGAUUUGCAGCUGUUACUACUGCUGCUGGUGUAUUAACAGCAACUGCAUUUUCUGCCAUUGUAAAUGAUUGAGUGAAGUGAUUUUUUUUUUUUUUUUUUUUUUUUUUUUGGAUAGAUUGAUGUAUUUAGUGAAAAACUGAUGUAUUUUAGAGAGGAAUUUUAACCUUGCUCUGAUACCAUGAAAGAAAAUGGUGAAGACAAAUAAAUGGGAGAAAUUUUUCUGUUAUUUUCCAUUGAAGAAGAGCUCCUAUAUAUACAAGUGUAUUAUGCUAUAAAAUAAAUAUAAAAUCUAUACAAAUUUGUCUAACUCCUAUUGUCUUUGCACAGAACACUAUGCAACCAAAUAUUAUUUCUCCAUACUUCCUCCAUACAAUGUUGCAUGCUUGUAGAAUAACUAGGAGAAUCUUUUUGUUCCUCCAUACUGCUGUCUCUGAUCUGGAAUAU